AAUUGGUCCGAAAGUAGUGGGUUAUCGACACAUGUUCUCCACCUCCCCUUUCCUCCACUACUGCCCUUGACUAAUUUUAU
This 80-nucleotide Y RNA is filed under the name Alligator mississippiensis (American alligator). It matches the Rfam family "Y RNA". From Rfam's summary of the family: Y RNAs are components of the Ro ribonucleoprotein particle (Ro RNP), in association with Ro60 and La proteins. The Y RNAs and Ro60 and La proteins are well conserved, but the function of the Ro RNP is not known. In humans the RNA component can be one of four small RNAs -- hY1, hY3, hY4 and hY5. Lineage: Eukaryota; Metazoa; Chordata; Crocodylia; Alligatoridae. The record is from Rfam by way of RNAcentral.